This 301-nucleotide ribosomal RNA is filed under the name uncultured bacterium. RNAcentral's name for it is "partial 16S ribosomal RNA". It matches the Rfam family "Bacterial small subunit ribosomal RNA", at positions 509 to 807 of the family's 1533-position model. The record is from RNAcentral.
CAGUAGCCGCGGUAAUACGAGGGGGGCGAGCGUUGUUCGGAAUUAUUGGGCGUAAAGGGUGCGUAGGCGGUUCAGUAAGUCUUGUGUGAAAUCUUCGGGCUCAACUCGAAGUCUGCAUGAGAAACUGCUGGGCUUGAGUGUGGGAGAGGUGAGUGGAAUUCCCGGUGUAGCGGUGAAAUGCGUAGAUAUCAGGAGGAACACCUGUGGCGAAAGCGGCUCACUGUACCAUAACUGACGCUGAGGCACGAAAGCUAGGGGAGCAAACAGGAUUAGAUACCCCCGUAGUCCCUGUCUCUUAUAC